UACGAAGGGUGCAAGCGUUACUCGGAAUUACUGGGCGUAAAGCGUGCGUAGGUGGUUCGUUAAGUCUGUCGUGAAAGCCCCGGGCUCAACCUGGGAAUGGCGAUGGAUACUGGCGGGCUAGAGUGCGGUAGAGGAGAGUGGAAUUCCCGGUGUAGCAGUGAAAUUCGCAGAUAUCGGGAAGAACACCCGUGGCGAAGGCGGCUCUCUGGGACGGUACUGACGCUGAGACGCGAAAGCGUGGGGAGCGAACAGG
RNAcentral lists this ribosomal RNA (253 nucleotides) under uncultured bacterium. RNAcentral describes it as "partial 16S ribosomal RNA". It matches the Rfam family "Bacterial small subunit ribosomal RNA", at positions 524 to 776 of the family's 1533-position model. The record is from RNAcentral.